AUGCCUGUUCGAGCGUCAUUACACCACUCAAGCUUGGCUUGGUAUUGGGCGACACGGCUCCCGUGCGCCUCGAUUUCGCCGGCUGGACGACCCAAUCCUCAGCGUUGCGGCAACAAAUUCGCCGGCGGAGAGGGGCGGCCACGCCGUUAAAACUUUCUAAGGUUGACCUCGGAUCAGGUAGGAAUACCCGCUGAACUUAA
Molecule: unclassified non-coding RNA, 200 nt
Filed under: soil metagenome
Description: partial contains internal transcribed spacer 2 and large subunit ribosomal RNA
Source: RNAcentral